This is a long non-coding RNA of Cynoglossus semilaevis (tongue sole), 270 nucleotides long. RefSeq lists it as uncharacterized. The record is from RefSeq and is a predicted model, not a curated record. The transcript is spliced from 2 exons. Lineage: Eukaryota; Metazoa; Chordata; Actinopteri; Pleuronectiformes; Cynoglossidae.
AUUGACCAGUUUUAUCAUCAUCUCUGUCAAGCUGUUUUCAAUCCACUUAGGAAACACUUAAAAAUCAGAGCAAACAUCAAAUUUGAAUCUUAACUUGAAAACCUGCUAAUUUUUUAAAGUUUUGCCAAAGGUUUUAAUGUAAACUUCAUCUGAUUGUUUUUUUGUUUUGUUUGUUUGUUUGUAUCGUAGCACUGAAGGAACUUAAGUUCAGUCCUGAGAUGAGACAGAAGAUGAUUAUGACUGUGUGAGAGAAUACUGAAAACAACAUUG